RNAcentral lists this ribosomal RNA (354 nucleotides) under Staphylococcus aureus. RNAcentral describes it as "bacterial SSU rRNA". It matches the Rfam family "Bacterial small subunit ribosomal RNA", at positions 220 to 566 of the family's 1533-position model. Lineage: Bacteria; Bacillati; Bacillota; Bacilli; Caryophanales; Staphylococcaceae. The record is from RNAcentral.
UAUAGAUGGAUCCGCGCUGCAUUAGCUAGUUGGUAAGGUAACGGCUUACCAAGGCAACGAUGCAUAGCCGACCUGAGAGGGUGAUCGGCCACACUGGAACUGAGACACGGUCCAGACUCCUACGGGAGGCAGCAGUAGGGAAUCUUCCGCAAUGGGCGAAAGCCUGACGGAGCAACGCCGCGUGAGUGAUGAAGGUCUUCGGAUCGUAAAACUCUGUUAUUAGGGAAGAACAUAUGUGUAAGUAACUGUGCACAUCUUGACGGUACCUAAUCAGAAAGCCACGGCUAACUACGUGCCAGCAGCCGCGGUAAUACGUAGGUGGCAAGCGUUAUCCGGAAUUAUUGGGCGUAAAGC